Triticum aestivum (bread wheat) is the source of this 1476-nucleotide long non-coding RNA. RefSeq lists it as uncharacterized. NCBI's taxonomy places the organism in Eukaryota, Viridiplantae, Streptophyta, Magnoliopsida, Poales, Poaceae. The record is from RefSeq and is a predicted model, not a curated record. The transcript has 5 exons.
AGACGAUUAGCUCCAAGAAAAAAAAAAGCAGAGUGAAGACGACGAGGCGGCCGGCCGGCCGGAUCGCCACCGCCACCGCGCCGCGCCAACCCUCAGCCAGCCGGACUCCCUCGCGACGGCUGCUGCUGCCGGCGGCACAGCUAGUGUCACGAACUCAUCACCACCCCUCGCCGGCCGGCCGGCCAUGGCCGUGGCCGUGUCGACCACCGGCAUCAGCAGGGCAAGCACGGCGGCGACUCCCACGCCCCGCCCUCACCUUUCGCAUACCCCCCCCCCCCCUCCCCCCCUCCGCCUCUCGAGGAGCGAGGUGAGAGGCUUGUUAACACGUGGAUUGCCUUCAGUGCCGUGGACAAAUUUGAGGAGGAUUGCGAGAUGCUGGAACAUUUGUUGAUUGCGAGUUGUCUUCCAGGGAAUUAUGCAUGUGGAGGAGAAGCAACCGCUGUGGAAUUUCCGUUUUUCUUUGGUAUCUGAGAAGAAAGCUCUUACAAAGUUUGUCCGUUCAGUGCAAUCAUCCAUAUUCAAGAGUGCCUUGAAAUCCACCGCGUCUUACAUUUAAGACGGCGAAUGGGGGAGCAUCCAAGAUAAUUUUCAGAAAGGGAGAUGACCUCCGACAAGGUCAGCUGGGUGACCUCUGCUGCGAUUUCCUGUGUUCAUUCGGAGGAGACGGCUGAUUAAUAGCUAUUCUUCUGGUCACUUAAAACUGAUGUAACUCAGUUUCUUGUAUGUACCCGCGAGGGCCAUCAUGGGCUCCACCUGCGCCCUAUUGCCGGCCUUCCGAUGCGGCGCCCCGACCUCCCUAUAGAGGACCAGAAGCUUGCAGUAGCAGGAGCAGCAGCAUCUCGGACCCUCCCCUCCUUCCUUCCCCUUCCUGUCAAGUUUUUGUGUGAAAAGCAAUCUUGAUCAAAAAUAAAUCUGCUUAUUUAAUGGGCUGCCACUUCACAUUGAUUCAACAUGGCUAGUUUAUCGUAUCUUUACUGUUUUAGUAGUUCACCACUGAAAAAACCACGGAUUUGGAAAAGAGUUGUGGAUUUUAAAAAGUUCAUUCAUUUCAAAAAAGUUUGCGGAUUUAAAAGAUACUCACAGAUUUGGAAAGGAGUUGUGGAUUUAAAAAAAGUUCAUAAAUUUAAAAGUAAUUUUAGGUUAUAAAAAAGGCUCAUGAAUUUGAGAAUAUAUCAUGAAUUUGAAAAAAAUCACGAAUUAAGAGAAGAAAAAAAGAAGAAAAAGAAAAAGGAAAACCGAAUAGAAACCGUUCUAAAAUAAACCACAGAAAAAACCGCACCAGAAAACUGGGGGAACCUUCCAAAAACCAGCGGAAAAAAUUCCGCAUGGGCCGGCUCACUACGCAAGCGAUUAGGUGGUGUGUGCGCUGUGUACCGUUACAGCUAUAACUUGUGCUUUAAGCGUAGAAUAGGAAGUGGCUGACAUCCUGCCUCCGUUUAGUUCCUGGCAAGUCCUCGCCGCGGCCUCCCUGUCUUG